RNAcentral lists this ribosomal RNA (468 nucleotides) under uncultured bacterium. RNAcentral's name for it is "partial 16S ribosomal RNA". It matches the Rfam family "Bacterial small subunit ribosomal RNA", at positions 28 to 507 of the family's 1533-position model. The record is from RNAcentral.
GACGAACGCUGGCGGCGUGCUUAACACAUGCGAGUCGAACGGAAAGGCCCUGCUUUUGUGGGGUGCUCGAGUGGCGAACGGGUGAGUAACACGUGAGUAACCUGCCCUUGACUUUGGGAUAACAUCAGGAAACUGGGGCUAAUACCGGAUAGGAGCUCCUGCUGCAUGGUGGGGGUUGGAAAGUUUCGGCGGUUGGGGAUGGACUCGCGGCUUAUCAGCUUGUUGGUGGGGUAGUGGCUUACCAAGGCUUUGACGGGUAGCCGGCCUGAGAGGGUGACCGGCCACAUUGGGACUGAGAUACGGCCCAGACUCCUACGGGAGGCAGCAGUGGGGAAUAUUGCACAAUGGGCGGAAGCCUGAUGCAGCAACGCCGCGUGCGGGAUGACGGCCUUCGGGUUGUAAACCGCUUUCGCCUGUGACGAAGCGUGAGUGACGGUAAUGGGUAAAGAAGCACCGGCUAACUACGUG